GUUUUGGUCCUAAACUUGCCAUUGUUUUUUAUCAAAUUUACACAUGCAAGCUUCAACAACCCAGUGAGAUUGCCCAAACCCCCUAAACAGCCAAAAGGAGCUGGCAUCAGGAUUACAGAUCUAUCUUAGCCUAAGACGCCUUGCAGUGCCACACCCACACGGGAAUUCAGCAGUGAAUAACAUUAAGAUAUAAGCGAAAGCUUGACUUAGUUAUGAUAAACAUGGCCGGUAAAUUUCGUGCCAGCCACCGCGGUUAUACGAAAGGCCAGAAACAAUGGCCUACGGCGUAAAGCGUGACAAAAGCAUGUCAAAACUUUAAAGAGGUACUGUAUCAAAGUCGUAAAACACCUUGAUUAUUAGACCAUCAACAACAAAAUGACUUUAAACAUAAGACCCCUUGCCCUCACGAAAGCUGAGAAACAAACUAGGAUUAGAUACCCUACUAUGCUCAGCCCUAAACAUAGAUAGCAAAAACACAAUGCCAUCCGCCAGAGAACUACAAGUGAAAAACUAGAAACUCCAAGGACUUGGCGGUGCUCCAUACCGACCUAGAGGAGCCUGUCCUAUAAUCGAUAAUCCACGCUAAACCUCACCACUCCUUGCAACUCAGCCUAUAUACCGCCGUCGUCAGCCUACCUUGUGAAAGAAACAAAGUAGGCAAAAUAGUCAGCACUAAAACGUCAGGUCAAGGUGUAGCAUAUGGAAUGGAAGAGAUGGGCUACACUUUCUAACACAGAAGAUACGGACAGUUCCAUGAAACUGGAACCAAAAGGCGGAUUUAGCAGUAAGAUAAACAAGAGAACUUAUCUGAAACCCGCUCUGGAGCGCGCACACACCGCCCGUCACCCUC
This 850-nucleotide non-coding RNA is filed under the name Trachylepis varia. RNAcentral's name for it is "partial 12S ribosomal RNA". It matches the Rfam family "Bacterial small subunit ribosomal RNA". The record is from RNAcentral. Lineage: Eukaryota; Metazoa; Chordata; Lepidosauria; Squamata; Scincidae.